Anolis carolinensis (green anole) is the source of this 757-nucleotide long non-coding RNA. RefSeq lists it as uncharacterized. The transcript is spliced from 3 exons. Lineage: Eukaryota; Metazoa; Chordata; Lepidosauria; Squamata; Anolidae. The record is from RefSeq and is a predicted model, not a curated record.
CAGACAUGGACCAGGCUCUGGUCAGUGAUGAGUGGGAGCUGGGACACAAGGACAGGCCAGCAAGGGGAACAUGUUAAUUUCUGGGUAAAAUACCAGCUGGCUCCAAGAAAGAAUGAACUAUGCCAAGAACAGUUUCUUGGAAAUGAAACCAUAUAUAAGUUACAAGUUUCUUCCUGACUUUCCAUCAGGCAUGCCAGAAGGAAGGAAUAUGGAUUCCCUUUUCCAGGAAAACAAUAACUCAAAAGAGGCAACUCUACAUGUGAUGUAAAAGUAGUGUCUGAGCUCCUGCAGGAUGAGUCAUUUGCUGGACUGAUUUAAGCCAUUGGGUGGAAGAGAUAUCCUUGUUUAUAAACAUAUUGUAGUAAUGCAGUCCAUGCUCUUCAAAGUCAUGGGGAUCCAUCAGUUAACUUGGGCAAGUAUUAUUACCCUGCAAAGAGUAAAUUAUUUCAGACUAGCUCCAAAUGCAGAUUCGAUGAAAAAGACUGUCAAAAAAGGAGAAAUAAAUAUCUGUUAAAUCCUUGUCAAGACAAUUUGUAGCUUCUUUCACUCAAUGCAAAUGGAGUAUCUAACAUGAAUUAUUCCAAAAAGAGAGAAAAGAGCAGCAUUAAAAGAAUGGAAUCAUCUGGGAAAAGUCAAAUCCAGGACACAACCAAGAGCAGCCACAGAGGGCUGGAGCUAACAAAAACAGCAAUAGCAACAUAUUAACAGGGAAAUGGGGAUAUUUCAAAGGGAAUGAAAAAUGAAAAAUUGACCUAAA